GAGUUUGAUCGUGGCUCAGGACGAACGCUGGCGGCGUGCCUAACACAUGCAAGUCGAGCGGAGAUAAUCCUUCGGGAGUAUCUAAGCGGCGGACGGGGUGAGUAACACGUGGGCAACCUGCCUCACAGAGGGGGAUAGGCUCCCGAAAGGGAGAUUAAUACCGCAUAAGAAGUAAGAGUCGCAUGAUUCAAGCUUUAAAGGUUGUAAAUCCGAAAGGGUUUACAGCCACUGUGAGAUGGGCCCGCGGCGCAUUAGUUAGUUGGUGAGGUAACGGCCCACCAAGGCGACGAUGCGUAGCCGACCUGAGAGGGUGAACGGCCACAUUGGAACUGAGAGACGGUCCAGACUCCUACGGGAGGCAGCAGUGGGGAAUAUUGCACAAUGGGCAAAAGCCUGAUGCAGCAACGCCGCGUGAGUGAAGAAGGUUUUCGGAUUGUAAAGCUCUGUCUUUGGGGACGAUAAUGACGGUACCCGAGGAGGAAGCCACGGCUAACUACGUGCCAGCAGCCGCCGUAAC
This 517-nucleotide ribosomal RNA is filed under the name bacterium enrichment culture clone OZDCA129. Its description in RNAcentral is "bacterial SSU rRNA". It matches the Rfam family "Bacterial small subunit ribosomal RNA", at positions 9 to 524 of the family's 1533-position model. The record is from RNAcentral.